CCUACGGGAGGCAGCAGUGAGGAAUAUUGGUCAAUGGACGAGAGUCUGAACCAGCCAAGUAGCGUGAAGGAUGACUGCCCUAUGGGUUGUAAACUUCUUUUAUAUGGGAAUAAAAUGUUCCACGUGUGGGAUUUUGUAUGUACCAUAUGAAUAAGGAUCGGCUAACUCCGUGCCAGCAGCCGCGGUAAUACGGAGGAUCCGAGCGUUAUCCGGAUUUAUUGGGUUUAAAGGGAGCGUAGGUGGAUUGUUAAGUCAGUUGUGAAAGUUUGCGGCUCAACCGUGAAAUUGCAGUUGAAACUGGCAGUCUUGAGUACAGUAGAGGUGGGCGGAAUUCGUGGUGUAGCGGUGAAAUGCUUAGAGAUCACGAAGAACUCCGAUGGCGAAGGCAGUUCACUGGACUGAAACUGACACUGAGGCUCGAAAGUGUGGGUAUCAAACAGGAUUAGAUACCCUAGUAGUC
Molecule: ribosomal RNA, 460 nt
Filed under: uncultured bacterium
Lineage: Bacteria
Description: partial 16S ribosomal RNA
Rfam family: Bacterial small subunit ribosomal RNA
Source: RNAcentral